AGGAUAAUGGCCUGGCUUCCUCUUUGCCUUGUCCUGUGCAGGUGACCCGGAACCUCCUAACUCCAGAACAGCGUGCUUUUUGUAUGACUCUGUCCGUCCCUCCAGGAAUGAGCUCGAAUGUCACCUUCAGCUGUUAAAAUCCAUUCCCAAGGGGAGAUAUAAGCUGUGUCUGCCCCUUCUCCUGAUGUCCCGAUGAUUCGACUCCACCAAAGUUCACUCGGGGAACCAAUGAGUUUAUUGGGAUUACUUCCAGAGCAUAGCUGCACAGAUGGAGUCUCCUGUAACAGGUCCCUAGACCGUACCACAACUGACUCCAUGAUGGAAGAACCAUUCAGGCUGUAAAACUCAGUAGGUAGAUAAUACCCAUGAAAACAGAAACUUAAUCCACCAAAGUCUAUAGGUUUGGGGAAGUCUCUGAAUGUACUAACCUUGCUUUUUGGCUUUUGUGGUUCUGCUUCUGGUUAACUGUUCUUGUUAACUGAUGUAUGUCAACCCAGAACAUGGUUUUUGUGUUUAAAAGCUCACACUGAGAAAGGGCUAUCCCAGAAUUCCACACACCCAGUGUAGUUAGUAGCCGGUUAAUCAAGACUUUCUACUGGUCUAAACCCCUGUCUGAGCCCUCUUCUCUGGUGCAUACCCCUCACCAUCCCCUUCGUUAGUCUUCCUCGGCCUGUAUACUCUGGCGCCCCCCCUCCCCCCAGGUCACAUGUAAUUAGGACAGCUGUGGUAUGGGGUGGUGAUACUCAGGUGAGGACCCUGUGACCCUCUCUGCUUCCCUGUGGGGAGCUGUAAACAAGCUCAGCUGGGUUGAUCUUUUGGAAGUGGCUCAGCUGAGCUCCCAGAGAUGGUGGCUGUUGGGCCCUGAGAACAGUCAUGCCCAACCCCUUCUCAGAAGAGGUUCCUGGCCACCCUGCCUUCCCAUCACCCCUUAUCACCCCCAUGUACACAUUGCUGCUGCUCUCCUUCCUGAAGCAUAACCUUGAGCUGUGUCUCCAGCUCCUAGAACAAUAGCUGUACAACUCAUGGCUGUUGACCCAACUGAGUGGAAUUAUGGUUUUGGAGCCAGGCUGAUCUUGAAGUAUCGAAUUCUAGCUCUAGUUAGGUAAUAGAAAACCUGCUGAGUUUCCAUUGCUAUGUUAAAACACCAUGACCAAAGGUAGCUUGGGAAGGA
This is a long non-coding RNA of Arvicola amphibius (Eurasian water vole), 1171 nucleotides long. RefSeq lists it as uncharacterized. Lineage: Eukaryota; Metazoa; Chordata; Mammalia; Rodentia; Cricetidae. The transcript is spliced from 3 exons. The record is from RefSeq and is a predicted model, not a curated record.